This 520-nucleotide long non-coding RNA is filed under the name Vulpes vulpes (red fox). RNAcentral's name for it is "lncRNA (ENSVVUG00000016901.1)". The record is from RNAcentral. Lineage: Eukaryota; Metazoa; Chordata; Mammalia; Carnivora; Canidae.
AACAGGAUUUGACUCAGAUGCUAAAUUCCUGAAUUUUCCAUCAGUAACUCAACUAUAGCUCUGUCCCUCCUCAUAGGUUCCUGAAGGAGACAAAGUGAUCUGAGGAUAGUCCAGCAGAGGAUGCCUCUUUACCACUAGGCAGGACUUCGGCUACACACCUCUGCUGUAAAGCAGACAAGGGUAAAGGAACUUACAGCUUUUGUUCCUUUGCGUGGCAAGGUUGCUCUUGACAUUCACUCCAAAAUGGCCAAUGGGAGUAAUGCCAUGGGACAUUCCUGUUUCCAUCUGCAUGUUUAAAUAUCAAAUGUGGGCAGUCCGGGUGGCUCAGCAGUUUAGCGCUGCCUUCAGCCCAAGGCGUGAUCCUGGAGACUCAGGAUCGAGUCCCAUAUUGGGCUCCCUGCAUGGAGCCUGCUUCUCUCUCUGCCUGUGUCUCUGCCUCUCUCUCUCCGUGUCUCUCAUGAAUAAAUAAAUAAAAUCUUAAAAAAAUAAAAAUAAAUAAAUAUCAAAUGUUAAAUAAUUU